UACGUAGGGACCGAGCGUUGUCCGGAAUCAUUGGGCGUAAAGAGCGUGUAGGCGGCUAUUUAAGUCCUGCGUGAAAUCCUGCGGCUCAACCGCAGACGGUCGUGGGAAACUGGAUGGCUAGAGUGCGGGAGAGGAGAGUGGAAUUCCCGGUGUAGCGGUGAAAUGCGCAGAUAUCGGGAAGAACACCCGUGGCGAAGGCGGCUCUCUGGAACGCAACUGACGCUGAGAUGCGAAAGCGUGGGGAGCAAACGGG
This 253-nucleotide ribosomal RNA is filed under the name uncultured bacterium. Its description in RNAcentral is "partial 16S ribosomal RNA". It matches the Rfam family "Bacterial small subunit ribosomal RNA", at positions 524 to 776 of the family's 1533-position model. The record is from RNAcentral.